UUCAGGAUGAACGCUAGGGGCAGGCUUAAUACAUGCAAGUCGAACGGUAACAUUGGUGCUUGCACCAGAUGACGAGUGGCGCACGGGUGCGUAACGCGUAUGCAACCUACCUUUUACUAGAGUAUAGCCCAGAGAAAUUUGGAUUAAUCCUCUAUAAUAUCUUUUAAUCUCCUGAUUUUAAGAUUAAAGUUUUAACGGUAAAAGAUGGGCAUGCGUCCUAUUAGUUUGUAGGUGAGGUAACGGCUCACCUAGACUACGAUAGGUAGGGGCCCUGAGAGGGGGAUCCCCCACACUGGUACUGAGACACGGACCAGACUCCUACGGGAGGCAGCAGUAAGGAAUAUUGGACAAUGGACGAAAGUCUGAUCCAGCCAUGCCGCGUGCAGGAUGACAGCCCUACGGGUUGUAAACUGCUUUUAUACAGGAAGAAACACUCCGACGUGUCGGAGCUUGACGGUACUGUAAGAAUAAGGAUCGGCUAACUCCGUG
Molecule: ribosomal RNA, 489 nt
Filed under: uncultured bacterium
Lineage: Bacteria
Description: bacterial SSU rRNA
Rfam family: Bacterial small subunit ribosomal RNA
Source: RNAcentral